Molecule: ribosomal RNA, 153 nt
Filed under: Roldana lineolata
Lineage: Eukaryota; Viridiplantae; Streptophyta; Magnoliopsida; Asterales; Asteraceae
Description: 5.8S ribosomal RNA
Rfam family: 5.8S ribosomal RNA
About the family: 5.8S ribosomal RNA (5.8S rRNA) is a component of the large subunit of the eukaryotic ribosome. It is transcribed by RNA polymerase I as part of the 45S precursor that also contains 18S and 28S rRNA.
Source: RNAcentral
CGGCAACGGAUAUCUCGGCUCACGCAUCGAUGAAGAACGUAGCAAAAUGCGAUACUUGGUGUGAAUUGCAGAAUCCCGUGAACCAUCGAGUUUUUGAACGCAAGUUGCGCCCAAAGCCUUUUGGCCGAGGGCACGUCUGCCUGGGCGUCACAC